This is an RNA transcript of Pan troglodytes (chimpanzee), 4666 nucleotides long. It is a transcript of the gene named R3H domain containing 1, with no coding region annotated. The record is from RefSeq and is a predicted model, not a curated record. Lineage: Eukaryota; Metazoa; Chordata; Mammalia; Primates; Hominidae. The transcript has 27 exons.
AAGGACAUGGGACUCCUCCUGCCAGAUUACAGAUGGUUCACUACAGUUGACAUCCUGGCUGACAACUGUGAAAAAGAACCUUGGAUUAUUUUAUUUUAUUUUUGUGGGACACCACAAUCCCAAAUCCAAAGGACGCAUCAGGCUUCAAGCUCCCUGUAGAAUUCGAAAAUAACCUUUUCUAAUGAGGAUGUCUGAUACUGUUACUGUAAAAGAUGAAACUGCAACAAUGAAGGAUUUGGAGGCAGAAGUGAAAGAUACAACCAGAGUUGAAAAUCUUAUAAAAUCAGAAAACUGUGGGAAGAUUUUGGUAGAGAAGAAUGAACAUUGUAUUGAAAACAAUAUAGAUUUGCAGCGGCCAUUGCAGUCAUUUGGACAGACAGGAAAAAGGUCUAAGUCAAGCUCAAAGUUAAAGCUAGUUCGGAGCCUUGCAGUGUGUGAAGAAUCUCCACCACCCCCUGCACCAGAGAUAUCACAGGAGAACCAGGAGAAAAUUCAGAUCCAGUUAACACAAUCAUUUGAGAAAGAAGAGAAGCCCUCAAAAGAUGAAGCAGAAAAAGAAAAGGCCAGUGAUAAGUUGCCCAGAAAAAUGUUAUCAAGAGAUUCCAGUCAAGAAUACACUGAUUCAACUGGCAUAGAUCUACAUGAAUUUUUAGUAAAUACAUUAAAAAACAAUCCCAGGGACAGAAUGAUGCUGCUGAAAUUGGAACAAGAAAUUUUAGAUUUCAUUGGUAAUAAUGAGUCUCCACGUAAAAAAUUCCCCCCAAUGACAUCUUACCAUAGGAUGCUAUUACACAGAGUAGCCGCUUACUUUGGAUUAGACCACAAUGUUGAUCAGAGUGGGAAGUCUGUCAUAGUAAACAAAACUAGCAAUACAAGAAUACCUGAUCAGAAAUUUAAUGAACAUAUUAAGGAUGAUAAAGGUGAAGACUUUCAGAAACGUUAUAUCCUCAAGAGAGAUAACUCUAGCUUUGACAAAGAUGAUAACCAGAUGAGAAUACGUUUGAAAGAUGACAGAAGAAGCAAAUCUAUAGAAGAAAGAGAAGAAGAGUACCAGAGAGCCAGAGACCGAAUAUUUUCCCAAGAUUCCCUGUGUUCCCAAGAGAAUUACAUUAUUGACAAAAGACUCCAAGACGAGGAUGCCAGUAGUACCCAGCAGAGGCGCCAGAUAUUUAGAGUUAAUAAAGAUGCUUCAGGGAGAUCUACAAAUAGCCAUCAAAGCAGCACUGAGAAUGAGUUGAAGUACUCAGAACCACGACCCUGGAGCAGCACAGAUUCAGACAGCUCUCUUCGAAACCUGAAACCUGCUGUAACCAAAGCCAGCAGCUUCAGUGGAAUCUCAGUCCUGACAAGAGGUGAUAGUUCUGGAAGCAGCAAAAGCAUAGGCAGGCUUUCAAAAACAGGUUCUGAGUCUUCUGGUAGUGUAGGGUCAUCUACAGGCUCUCUUUCUCACAUCCAGCAGCCUCUUCCAGGUACAGCUCUCAGCCAGUCUUCUCAUGGCGCACCUGUCGUCUAUCCAACUGUCAGCACUCAUAGUUCUCUUUCCUUUGAUGGUGGCCUAAAUGGGCAAGUCGCAUCUCCUAGCACUAGCUUCUUUUUGCUUCCCUUGGAAGCGGCAGGCAUACCACCUGGCAGUAUUCUGAUCAACCCACAAACAGGUCAGCCCUUCAUAAACCCAGAUGGGAGUCCAGUUGUGUAUAAUCCUCCUAUGACUCAACAACCAGUUAGAUCCCAAGUGCCUGGACCUCCACAGCCACCUCUGCCAGCCCCACCUCAACAACCAGCAGCUAAUCACAUUUUCUCACAGCCUGUUCGUCCUCUGCAGUCCUCUUCACAGCCUGUUCAGUACUCUACAGCCCCUUACCCAUCCCCGCUCCUGCCAGUGUCACCCACCCAGCAAUACUCCGUGCAGGAUAACCUAGGGUCUCAGUUUAGCCACAUGAGUCUUGCUCGCCAGCCAUCUGCUGAUGGUUCUGACCCUCAUGCCGCCAUGUUCCAGUCCACUGUGGUUCUUCAGUCUCCACAGCAGUCUGGUUAUAUCAUGACAGCAGCCCCUCCACCACAUCCUCCUCCACCGCCACCACCACCACCACCACCUCCUCCUCCUCCUCCCCUACCACCUGGGCAGCCAGUCCCUACUGCUGGAUAUCCUGCCUCUGGUCAUCCUGUCAGCCAGCCUGUGCUCCAGCAGCAGGGAUAUAUUCAGCAGCCAUCACCACAGAUGCCAGCCUGUUAUUGCGCUCCAGGCCACUAUCACUCCAGCCAACCUCAGUAUCGCCCAGUCCCUUCUGUUCAUUACAAUUCACAUCUAAACCAACCACUGCCACAACCUGCGCAGCAGACAGGUUAUCAAGUUAUACCCAACCAGCAGCAAAACUACCAAGGAAUAGUUGGAGUUCAGCAACCCCAGAGUCAGAGCCUAGUCAGUGGCCAACCCAACAGCAUUGGAAAUCAGAUUCAAGGAGUGGUCAUCCCCUAUACUUCAGUGCCAACAUAUCAGGUUUCACUGCCUCAAGGUUCUCAAGGAAUUCCCCAUCAGACUUACCAACAGCCUGUUAUGUUCCCUAAUCAGUCUAAUCAAGGAUCUAUGCCCACAACAGGAAUGCCUGUUUACUAUAGUGUCAUUCCACCUGGUCAACAAAACAAUUUAAGCUCUUCAGUAGGUUACCUGCAACAUCCAGGAUCAGAACAAGUACAGUUUCCUCGAACCACUUCACCAUGCAGUUCCCAGCAGCUUCAAGGCCACCAAUGUACAGCUGGCCCACCACCGCCACCUGGUGGGGGGAUGGUGAUGAUGCAGCUCAGUGUACCAAACAAUCCACAAUCUUGUGCCCACUCACCCCCGCAGUGGAAACAAAACAAAUAUUACUGUGAUCACCAGAGAGGACAGAAGUGUGUAGAAUUUAGCAGUGUAGACAAUAUUGUCCAGCACAGCCCUCAACUCAGUAGCCCCAUUAUUUCACCAGCUCAGUCGCCAGCACCAGCUCAGCUGUCCACCCUGAAAACUGUACGUCCCUCUGGACCACCACUUUCCAUCAUGCCCCAAUUUUCUAGACCUUUUGUCCCCGGGCAAGCCAAGCAUGGUGGCUUGUACCUGUAAUCCCAGCAACUCAUGAGGUGGAAGGAUUGCUGGAGGCCAGGAGUUUGAGACCAGCCUGGUCAACAUAGAGAUUCCAGGUAUCCAUUACUUGGCCAGCCACUGCAGUACAAUCCUCCUGCUGUUCUGCACGGACACAUUCCAAACCAACAGGGUCAGCCUGGCAGCAGGCAUGGAAACCGAGGAAGGAGACAAGCUAAAAAAGCUGCAUCCACAGACCUUGGAGCAGGAGAAACAGUUGUUGGGAAGGUCUUGGAAAUUACUGAACUACCAGAUGGAAUAACUCGCAUGGAAGCUGAAAAGCUUUUUGGGGAACUCUUUAAAAUUGGCGCCAAGAUCCGGUGGCUCCGGGACCCCCAGUCCCAACCACGUCGUCACCCCCUCUGCUGUGGCAGUGGGGACAACACUGCCAACCCUGAACGCUCUAAACCCAGUGACUUGGCCUCCACCUACACCGUCUUAGCCACAUUCCCCUCCAUUUCAGCUGCACAGAAUGCACUGAAGAAACAAAUUAACUCAGUUAACAAGUUUAAGCUGAGAACAAGCAAGAAGCACUAUGACUUUCACAUUUUGGAAAGGGCAAGUUCUCAGUAACAGCCACCUUUGGACCCUUCGCCUUUAUGGUUCCCCUGCCCUCUCCCAUCUUUGAUUGGCUUGGUAUUUGGAGCUUCUGUUAACAUUAUAGAGACUCCUAGGAUGUGUGUUCAUGGCGUUAUAGCUUUUGAAGAAAGGCCAGUGAUCCAGCAAAGGGGGAAAAAAUAUGCAUUUCACCCCACAUGACUAGGAAUCCACAUCAGAAUGAUACAGAGUUAGCAGGUUUUUCUAAGGAAAUGCCAUUCAAAUGCCUCCUAACUUUUAUAGUUAUUUUGUUUUAUAUUUCUAAAUUCUUGUAUCAGAUCCAAAGCUCUAUUGUACAGCAAAUUAUUCUUCAAAAUGAUUAUAACCAGUUGCACCCUGUAUUUCUUUUCGCAGCCAGCACAAUGUGACCCAACUUAAAAUUUGGGGAAAAAAGAAUGCAGGAGUGAAAUAACCAAGUCAAAACCAUGUACUAUCUCCUUGGGGGUUAGGGAUGCUAAGAAGAGCCCACAAAUAGAGGAUUACUCUUCCCCUGAAUCUCUAAACUCAGAAACAAUUGCCAAAAAAUACAUAACUCUUCCUUGUAGGGCCCUUUCCUUAUUCAUUUAGGUAGUGUGAACAUUAAGUAUAAAAUAAAUUAUGUUCUUAAUGCCUCUUAAACCACUUACAUUCAAAGGGGAACAGAAAUCAUUCUAAGCAGGAAAAUACUUCCACUUUUUUUUUUUCAAGUAUCUCUCUAAUAACUAAAUGCCACUUAUUUGCAUUCUCCUUGUGGAUUUUUUGUCACCUAAGGAAAUGCAUUUGAUGAGUGCUGGAAACUUCUUAAGUGCUUUACAGUUUGUUUUCAUUGUUUGCAGCGGAUCACUGGACAUCAAAGAUUCAUUGCACUUAUGAACAAGGAACCUUCUUUUCAAUUUCUGUGUAAUUUGCAAGGCUGUACAAUGUGUGCUGAUGCAAGCCUUUUUCAGUUCAAGAGAAUAAAUGUUUACAAAUAUA